Aedes aegypti (yellow fever mosquito) is the source of this 1944-nucleotide long non-coding RNA. RefSeq lists it as uncharacterized. The record is from RefSeq and is a predicted model, not a curated record. The transcript has 2 exons. NCBI's taxonomy places the organism in Eukaryota, Metazoa, Arthropoda, Insecta, Diptera, Culicidae.
UUCAAAUUCUAUUUCAUUUUUUUUGAAAGCAUAAUCGUGAUCCAACCUUUCUGUAAUUUCUUUCAAAUUCUAUUUCAAUUUUUUUGAAAGCAGAAUCGAGAUCCAACCUUUCUGUAAUUUCUUUCAAAUUCUAUUUCAAUUUUUUUGUGUUGUCUUUAAUUUUUAAUUGUUGAUGGUUUAUUUAUAUCAGCUAAAUCUCACAGAGUUGUUCACUCUUUGACAGUCACACGCAAUUGCGAAAAAAAAUCAUUCUAGCAAAAUGAGAGAUACGACUUACAAUUUGCAAAAUUGAUUGAGUUCAAAAGUUCUGCUUAGCAGUCGUCAUCAUAUGACCAAUGGUCGCAUGAGUGCGAAAGUUUUAUAUAAAAGUUCUUCAAUCAAGUCGUCAUCAUAUGACCAAAGGUCGCAUGAGUGCAAAAAUCAAGACUACCAGCACUGUUAUUUCUUUUUAAGUUCUAUUUCUAUUAUUUUUUACCCAACCACUCAAAUUUCUUUCAAAUUCUAUUUCAAUUUUUUUUGCAAAGGCGAUUUAAUAACUAAGGCUUUCUUAGCGUGAUAUUAUCACUACGGAAUAUUAUUUUUUUUAUUGUUUAAGUUCUAUUUCUAUUAUUUUUACGAAACAAGAUAAAACAUCCAAUCCACGGUAACUUCUCAAUAUUUUCUAUUUCCUAUUCGUAUCAGAACAAGCCAAUCACUUGAGUUUCUCAAUAUUUUCUAUUUCCUAUUAAUAUGCGGUAAUCAGUUCUACCAACCUGACUGUUAUUUCUUUCAAAUUCUAUUUCAUUUUUUUUUUGAAAGCAUAAUCGUGAUCCAACCUUUCUGUAAUUUCUUUCAAAUUCUAUUUAAAUUUUUUUGAAAGCAGAAUCGAGAUCCAACCUUUCUGUAAUUUCUUUCAAAUUCUAUUUCAAUUUUUUUGUGUUGUCUUUAAUUUUUAAUUGUUGAUGGUUUAUUUAUAUCAGCUAAAUCUCACAGAGUUGUUCACUCUUUGACAGUCACACGCAAUUGCGAAAAAAAAAAUCAUUCUAGCAAAUGAGAGAUACGACUUACAAUUUGCAAAAUUGAUUGAGUUCAAAGGUUCUGCUUAGCAGUCGUCAUCAUAUGACCAAAGGUCGCAUGAGUGCAAAAAUCAAGACUACCAGCACUGUUAUUUCUUUUUAAGUUCUAUUUCUAUUAUUUUGGCAAAAUUAAAUGGACCCAACCACUCAAAUUUCUUUCAAAUUCUAUUUCAAUUUUUUUUUUUGCAAAAGCGAUUUAAUAACUAAGGCUUUCUUAGCGUGAUAUUAUCACUACGGAAUAUUAUUUUUGAGACUAACGAAGUCUUUUCAUCGCGUGAUAUUAUCACUACGGAAUAUUAUUUUUGAGUUUAACAAAGUAUUUUUAGUACGUGAUAUUAUCACUACGGAAUAUUAUUUUUAAGGAAUGAUUCUAAAUUUUAGAAGUCGUCAUCAUAUGACCAAAGGUCGCAUGAGUGCGAAAUAACCUAAACGUAUAGAAACAAACCACUAAAAUUUCUUUCAAAUUCUAUUUCAUUUUUUUUACAAAGAGAAUCUAUUACAGAAUUUCUCGGAUCGUGAUAUUAUCACUACGGAAUAUUAUUUUUAUUAAAAAAAUACCAACGUUUCUGUAAUUUCACAAUAUUACAAUAUGCAUUACAAAUUUACGAUUUGUUAAAGUCUGCACGAUCAUACGAAGAAAAAAGAAACAAAUGCUUGAGGAUUUAUCUUCUUGCUAACAAAAGUGUCUAAUUUAACCGUUAUAUUAUCACUACGGAAUAUUAUUUUUGCGAUAAUAGUCUUGAUGUCUAAGACAACACACUGUAAUUUCUUUCAAAUUCUAUUUCAAUUUUUUUUUGAAACCCUGUUAAACAAAAUGAUUCUACAAAGAAGAAUGUAAAACUUUUGUAAACUAGUUUAAGAUGAUAAUAAAAGAUUAAAUAAAAUCAAA